Molecule: long non-coding RNA, 188 nt
Organism: Anoplopoma fimbria (sablefish)
Lineage: Eukaryota; Metazoa; Chordata; Actinopteri; Perciformes; Anoplopomatidae
Exons: 4
Source: RefSeq, a predicted model, not a curated record
CUGGUGGAGCAGCAGAAGUUCCAGCUGGACAGUUGGUGAAACAGAGCUGUUUGACUUCAGCAGACAGAAACACAGACACAAGUGAAUUUGUCUCUGAUGUUUCCAGCAGAGUGACAUCAUGGCGACAGCAGCACCAGGUGAUGAUGAGUUGAAGGACAGAAGCAGUCCAGACCUUGGUCGACCUAACU